Molecule: ribosomal RNA, 1068 nt
Filed under: Triticum aestivum (bread wheat)
Lineage: Eukaryota; Viridiplantae; Streptophyta; Magnoliopsida; Poales; Poaceae
Description: partial small subunit ribosomal RNA
Source: RNAcentral
AUGAACAUCGCCCUCCUGACCCGCUGGCUAUGGCGCAUUGCCAAUGGCGAGGGAGGCCUCUGGCUAACUAUCAUCCAGAAUAAAUACCUACGUGGACAGCCCCUGGCGUUCUGCCAAUGCUCGGGCGGUUCCCAGUUUUGGCAGGCUGUCGUCCAGCUGCUACCAGUUCUGCGUAUAGGCACUUCCAUCUCUGUGGGCUCUGGCGCCUCGACCUUUUUCUGGCUGGAUAGAUGGCUUGGGGACUCCCCUCUAGCCGCCCGGUUCCCCAUCCUCUUCGAUAUUGUAGUUGACCCUCGGGUCUCUGUCGAGGCGGCCCUUAUUGACUUAGGGCGCCUCGCGUUCCGCCGCCCUUUUGGACCUGCCGAGGUGGCUGCCUGGGAUGAUCUCCUCCAGGACAUCGCCCUGCUGCCUAUGGAGGUGGCAGACGCUCCGGAUGCCAUCUCCUGGCGCCUAGAUCCCUCCGGCCGCUUCUCCACCAAAUCCCUCUACGCGGCCAUUGCCCCCUCGUCAGCUCCGGAGCCCUUCGGCCUUAUCUGGGACAUUCGCCUCCCACUUAAGAUUCGGAUCUUUCUGUGGCAGUGGAUCCGCGGCCACCUCCCGACCGGCGUGGAGGUCCUCAAGCGCCAUGGUCCUGGUGAUGGAAUGUGCCCCUUGUGUGCCACGGUUGAGGAUGCUAAUCACAUCUUCUUCUCGUGCUGCACGGCACAGUUCCUUUGGUCUUGUUUCCGCGAAACGGUUGGCGGACAGUGGUGCAAUACCAACUUCCCUGACUUGCUUGCCGAAAUUCAGGCCUCCCCCCCUCGCUACAGACAUAUUAGAUGGCUGUGCGUCGGGGUGCUGGCCUGGACCUUGUGGACGGUUCGCAAUAGGCUUGUCAUUCAGAAGGUGCCCCUUCGACGUGCGACUGACUCCAUCUUUAAAAUGUGUGGUUACUUGCAGCUCUGGCGGCCGCUUAGCCGCCCCCGGACCGGGACGCCAUCGAUAGACUCCUCACCGACCUCCGUUCGUUGGCCUUCCGCCUGGCACCUCCGCUCCCGCCGCCACCCCCGGAGCCCGACUAGUGGAUGA